CAGUCGCCGCGGUAAAACGGAGGGGGCUAGCGUUGUUCGGAAUUACUGGGCGUAAAGCGCACGUAGGCGGCUUGGUAAGUUAGAGGUGAAAGCCCGGAGCUCAACUCCGGAAUUGCCUUUAAGACUGCCGAGCUAGCAGGUGAGAGAGGUAAGUGGAAUUCCGAGUGUAGAGGUGAAAUUCGUAGAUAUUCGGAAGAACACCAGUGGCGAAGGCGGCUUACUGGCUCAUACUGGACGCUGAGGUGCGAAAGCGUGGGGAGCAAACAGGAUUAGAUACCCCAGUAGUCCCUGUCUCUUAUAC
RNAcentral lists this ribosomal RNA (301 nucleotides) under uncultured bacterium. RNAcentral's name for it is "partial 16S ribosomal RNA". It matches the Rfam family "Bacterial small subunit ribosomal RNA", at positions 509 to 807 of the family's 1533-position model. The record is from RNAcentral.